This 64-nucleotide transfer RNA is filed under the name Anolis carolinensis (green anole). It matches the Rfam family "tRNA". From Rfam's summary of the family: Transfer RNA (tRNA) molecules are approximately 80 nucleotides in length. Their secondary structure includes four short double-helical elements and three loops (D, anti-codon, and T loops). Further hydrogen bonds mediate the characteristic L-shaped molecular structure. tRNAs have two regions of fundamental functional importance: the anti-codon, which is responsible for specific mRNA codon recognition, and the 3' end, to which the tRNAs corresponding amino acid is attached (by aminoacyl-tRNA synthetases). tRNAs cope with the degeneracy of the genetic code in two manners: having more than one tRNA (with a specific anti-codon) for a particular amino acid; and 'wobble' base-pairing, i.e. permitting non-standard base-pairing at the 3rd anti-codon position. The record is from Rfam by way of RNAcentral. Lineage: Eukaryota; Metazoa; Chordata; Lepidosauria; Squamata; Anolidae.
GGUGUAGUGGUUUGAGCAUUAGACUAUAACUCUGGAGACAAGGGUUCAAAUCCCUGCUCAACCA